RNAcentral lists this small RNA (230 nucleotides) under Arabidopsis thaliana (thale cress). Its description in RNAcentral is "ATSL043410". Lineage: Eukaryota; Viridiplantae; Streptophyta; Magnoliopsida; Brassicales; Brassicaceae. The record is from RNAcentral.
UGAUCUUUUUGCACUUUCUGUCUUAGUUUAGUAUUGGAUUCCUCUCCUGUCCCUGAACCAACUUGUUCAGCCUCUUCUCCCUGAAUAAACCCACUCAGCUUCUUCUCCCUGAAUAAACCCACUCAGCUGUUAUCCGGAACACAAGCUCCACCUUAGUUGUGAGACACUUUGAGUAUCAAUCUUCAGUACUUGUAUUUCACCAUUACUCACCAACUCUCUAAUGAAAUGAU